This is a long non-coding RNA of Notothenia coriiceps (black rockcod), 307 nucleotides long. RefSeq lists it as uncharacterized. The transcript is spliced from 3 exons. The record is from RefSeq and is a predicted model, not a curated record. Lineage: Eukaryota; Metazoa; Chordata; Actinopteri; Perciformes; Nototheniidae.
AAGCAUGGAGAUCCUGGCGUGUGGCGUCGACGGGCGCAGCGUAUCAACCCCGCAACCGAAGAGGGACGGCGGUGAAUGCCUCCUGAUUGCAAAACGGUGUCAACCUGGAGAGUCUGCCUGCGCAAGAUGAUGCACCACGCUUCCAAAGAGAAAUUGCUCAAGAGGACAAGAACUGGGAGCAGAAUAUUCAGGAAUUGCAGAAGAAGCACCGAAUAAGAGACAAGGUUCUGCUGGUGAAGUGUGUGUUCGUCCUCACGGUGGUGAUCUUCAUGUUCUUCCUCAACUCCUUUGUUCCCAGCAUUCAUCU